UGGGGGAUAUUGCACAAUGGGGGAAACCCUGAUGCAGCGACGCCGCGUGAGUGAAGAAGUAUUUCGGUAUGUAAAGCUCUAUCAGCAGGGACGAAAGAAAUGACGGUACCUGAAUAAGAAGCACCGGCUAAAUACGUGCCAGCAGCCGCGGUAAUACGUAUGGUGCAAGCGUUAUCCGGAUUUACUGGGUGUAAAGGGAGCGCAGGCGGCAAGGCAAGUCUGAUGUGAAAACCCGAGGCUCAACCACGGGAGUGCAUUGGAAACUGUCUAGCUAGAGUAUCGGAGGGGUAAGCGGAAUUCCUAGUGUAGCGGUGAAAUGCGUAGAUAUUAGGAAGAACACCGGUGGCGAAGGCGGCUUACUGGACGAAAACUGACGCUGAGGCUCGAAAGCGUGGGGAGCAAACAGG
This 407-nucleotide ribosomal RNA is filed under the name uncultured bacterium. RNAcentral describes it as "bacterial SSU rRNA". It matches the Rfam family "Bacterial small subunit ribosomal RNA", at positions 355 to 776 of the family's 1533-position model. The record is from RNAcentral.